This 459-nucleotide ribosomal RNA is filed under the name uncultured bacterium. RNAcentral describes it as "partial 16S ribosomal RNA". It matches the Rfam family "Bacterial small subunit ribosomal RNA", at positions 338 to 795 of the family's 1533-position model. The record is from RNAcentral.
CCUACGGGUGGCAGCAGUGAGGAAUAUUGGUCAAUGGGCGGGAGCCUGAACCAGCCAAGUAGCGUGAAGGAUGACUGCACAGCGGGUUGUAAACUUCUUUUAUAAAGGAAUAAAGUGAGGCACGUGUGCCUUGUUGAAUGUACUUUAUGAAAAAGGAUCGGCUAACUCCGUGCCAGCAGCCGCGGUAAUACGGAGGAUCCGAGCGUUAUCCGGAUUUAUUGGGUUUAAAGGGUGCGAAGGCGGAUUUUUAAGUCAGCGGUAAAAGGUCGGGGCUAAACCCGGGCCGGCCGUUGAAACUGGGGGUCUUGAGUUGGCGAGAAGUAUGCGGAAUGCGUGGUGUAGCGGUGAAAUGCAUAGAUAUCACGCAGAACUCCGAUUGCGAAGGCAGCAUACCGGCGCCCGACUGACGCUGAGGCACGAAAGCGUGGGGAUCGAACAGGAUUAGAUACCCUAGUAGUC